AGGAGAGGAGAGGAGAGGAGAGGAGAGGAGAGGAGAGGAGAGGAGAGGAGAGGAGAGGAGAGGAGAGGAGAGGAGAGGAGAGGAGAGGAGAGGAGAGGAAAGGAAAGGAGAGGUGGAAUGUGGCUUUCUCCUCCUUCCCUCUUCAGUGUUUGUUAGCUAAUAAAUCAUUCAGAGAGAGAGAUGUGGAGAAUAGUUCUAUGUUGCAAACAGUUGACCUCCUGGUUUGUCCUCAUUUCACUACAUUAGUGGACAGAGGAGCUUUUUCCAUCUACUCUACUGUAGUUUUUUGUCCUAUACUAUUCAUAUUAUUAUUUUUAAUCCCAGCCCCCGUCCCUGCAGGAGGCAGCCUAUGCCUUUUGGUAGGCGGUCAUUGUAAAUAACAAGUUAUUCUUAAUUGAAUUGCCUAGUUAAUUAAAUAAAGGUGUUUUAUUAUCAUUAUCUACAGUGGAUUGAACAGCAGAGGUACAGUAGCAGGGGAAUCGGCAGAGGUACAGUAGCAGGGGAAUCGGCAGAGGUACAGUAGCAGGGGAAUCAGCGGAGGUACAGUAGCAGGGGAAUCAGCAGAGGUACAGUAGCAAGGGAAUCGGCGGAGGUACAGUAGCAGGGGAAUCGGCGGAGGUACAGUAGCAGGGGAAUCGGCGGAGGUACAGUAGCAGGGGAAUCGGCGGAGGUACAGUAGCAGGGGAAUCGGCAGAGGUACAGUAGCAGUAUGUGUUAUCCAGGGAAUGAUGUAUCUAUGAGAUGGAGGUCAGUAUGUGUUAUCCAGGGAAUGAUGUAUCUAUGAGAUGGGGGCCAGUCUCCCAGUCUCCCGGUCUCCCGGUCUCCCGGUCUCCCAGUCUCCCAGUCUCCCGGUCUCCCGGUCUUCCAGUCUCCCUCCUCUCAUCCACCCCAGGGUGAUAUCCCUCCUGCUGAUAUCCUUGUCUACUGCUAAGAGAGAAUACUCUCUCAUCUUCCGCGCCCCCCUUUAAUCUUCUCAUCAACACGGAGAUUACACAGUGCCGCGCUUGUAAGAACUAGGAACACAGCGCACAACGAGGGGCGCGGAGGGAACAGAAAGGGGUAGAUAAGAAAGAAGAGGACACAGAGAGGGAGAGAGGAGAAAGAGAGAUGGAAAGAAGAGAGAGAAAGAAGAGAGAGAGUAAAAUAGAGAGAGUAAAGGAGAGAGCGAGAGAGAGGGGGAGAGAUGAAGAGUAAAAUAGAGAGAGUAAAGGAGAGAGAGAGAGGGAAAGAAGAGAGUAAAAUAGAGAGAGUAAAGGAGAGAGAGAGAGAGGGAGAGAUGAAGAGUGCAUCAGAGGGUGUGACGUACUAUCACCCAUCAUUAGCUCUGUUUACACACGUACCACAGGAGGAAAGGUCACCAUCCCCACAGUGUCUUUUCGCCUCGGUGACAAUAUGUUAUCUUUCCUCUCAGCGGCUCUGACUAACCCCAGAUCAGUGUCUGCAUCUCUAACGGCACCCUGUUCCCUGUGGGCCCUCGUUGCACCCUGUUCCCCGUGGGCCCUCGUUGCACCCUGUUCCCCGUGGGCCCUCGUUGCACCCUGUUCCCCGUGGGCCCUCGUUGCACUGCGUAAGGAAUAGUGUGCCAUUUGGGACGGGAUCAGUUUCUAGGGGCUGCCAACCGGUAAUCCUGUUGGAUUGUCGGAUAUAAGGGCAGAGGGCCUGGAGGACACAGAAGAGAGUCAUGUGGGUUCAAGACCAAGGGAGGAGGAGUGGAGGGGUGGAAGACAAGUGGAAUAGCAGGAAGAUUGGAGGUGUGGUGGAAGGGUGGAAUAGCAGCAGGAGGAACAGUGGAAGGGAGGUGGAAUAGCAGCAGGAGGAACAGUGGAAUGGAGGUGGAAUAGCAGCAGGAGGAACAGUGGAAGGGAGGUGGAAUAGCAGCAGGAGGAACAGUGGAAGGGAGGUGGAAUAGCAGCAGGAGGAACAACAGUGGAAGGGAGGUGCGAGCUGAGUUUGAAAUUAACAAUUAGAAAAAGUCAUGAAGGAAUGGUCAUAAUCACUCCCACUAAUAAUCAGUCACUGAUCUACGGAGACAAAUCCACCGACACAGGAAAUUAUAUUACAUACCAGGAAUGAGAGGGAGAGAGAGAGAGAGAGGAGAGGAAGAGAGGAACAAGAGCAAGAGUGAGGUGGCCAUGGGAUCUGUUUCCUGUUUCUGCUGCACACACACACACACGCAUGCUCAUACACACUCACCCACAAAUGCACACACACAUACGAACACUAACACACACAUACACACAUAAACACAUAAACUCAAGCACAAGCACGCAUUCACAUACACACACUCAUACACGCACACACACACAUACACACACACAUAUACACACACACACACAUACAAUCACUCACAUGUACUCACACACAAACACACACUCACACGCAUGCUCAUACACACUCACACACAAAUACACACACACACACAUGCAUACACUCACUCACACAGAUGCAUACACACACACACCGUGUAUAAUGCAUGGGGGUUCAGUGACAUUAAAAUUAUAGGUUAUUGAGCGUUUUAAAGGGAUUUAUAGGUCAGAGCUACAGUCUGUG
This is a long non-coding RNA of Oncorhynchus tshawytscha (Chinook salmon), 2550 nucleotides long. The record is from Ensembl. Lineage: Eukaryota; Metazoa; Chordata; Actinopteri; Salmoniformes; Salmonidae.